This 449-nucleotide ribosomal RNA is filed under the name uncultured soil bacterium. RNAcentral describes it as "bacterial SSU rRNA". It matches the Rfam family "Bacterial small subunit ribosomal RNA", at positions 26 to 518 of the family's 1533-position model. The record is from RNAcentral.
AGAACGAACGCUGGCGGCAGGCUUAACACAUGCAAGUCGAACGGUUGUAGCAAUACAGCAGUGGCAGACGGGUGAGUAACACGUGGGAACCUUCCUAGGGGUACGGAACAACUCAGGGAAACUUGAGCUAAUACCGUAUACGUCCGUAAGGAGAAAGAUUCAUCGCCCCUAGACGGGGCCCGCGUAGGAUUAGGUAGUUGGUGAGGUAACGGCUCACCAAGCCUACGAUCCUUAGCUGAUCUGAGAGGAUGAUCAGCCACACUGGGACUGAGACACGGCCCAGACUCCUACGGGAGGCAGCAGUGGGGAAUCUUGGACAAUGGGCGCAAGCCUGAUCAGCCAUGCGCGUGAGUGAAGAAGGCCUUCGGGUUGUAAAGCUCUUUUACCAGGGACGAUAAUGACGUACCUGGAGAAGUAAGUACCCGGCAAACUUCGUAGCCAGCAGCCGC